Molecule: unclassified non-coding RNA, 257 nt
Filed under: uncultured bacterium
Lineage: Bacteria
Description: contains 16S-23S intergenic spacer region
Rfam family: Bacterial small subunit ribosomal RNA
Source: RNAcentral
UACGGGGGAUGCAAGCGUUAUUCGGAAUUAUUGGGCGUAAAGGGUCUUCGGGCGGUUAAAAAAGUCUUUUUAUAAUAAAUGUACUGAACUUAUAUUUAAAGUUUAAAGAUACUUUUUUUCUUGAGAUAUUGUGGAAGCUGAAGGAAUUUCUAGAGUAACAGUUAAAUGUUUUGAUACUAGAAAGAACACUAAAAGCGAAGGCGUUCUUGCUAUUCUGUUCUGACGCUUAUAAGACGAAAGCUAGGGGAACAAAUGGG